This is a long non-coding RNA of Syngnathoides biaculeatus (alligator pipefish), 625 nucleotides long. RefSeq lists it as uncharacterized. The record is from RefSeq and is a predicted model, not a curated record. The transcript is spliced from 3 exons. Lineage: Eukaryota; Metazoa; Chordata; Actinopteri; Syngnathiformes; Syngnathidae.
UUGGGCAAUUUUGAACAAAUAAACUUGUAAAAUUAUGUCUGCCAAAAAACAUAAUUCACUGCCACAGACGUAAAGUUGCAUUUUGUGAGUUUUUUUCAAUUGAAAUUUGUAAUAAAGGCCUUCGCGUAGCUCCUCAGUAUCAAGGCUUUGGGAAUGAUUUCACUAUGCUGAAUCGACACUAGAUGGCAGUAGUUGCUUUCCUCAUAUCUUUGAGCCCAUAUCCGCUGAGACUCCAUCCGGUGUGAGAAAGGGCUGUGUUGGUGAGAAUAUGGAGAAGGAGUUUAUUUGUAUUUAUUUUUUUUUAAAGCAAAAGAAGAUGACAAAGUCAAUUCGUCACCCUUGUCUGAUAAAGAAAGCGAUAACGUUUCCCGGAAACAUUCUCUGCCGAUGUUGAGCCAGAACUUCGGAGAUAAAAGGUGUACCAAGUGGGGCUAUUGAUUGCUGGAGAUUGCGUUCACAUUGACCACAAAAAGGACUUUUAGAAAGCCUAGCAUCACAGCACAGUGGCCACCUUCGGUGUACUUACUUCGCCGACAGCGUGUUUAUGGAGCCGGUUAUCAGCAUAAGUCCCGCGAGGAACAGCUGGUAUUUGGUCCACGCCAUCUCCCGGAGUGUGAACGGGGCG